RNAcentral lists this long non-coding RNA (513 nucleotides) under Panax ginseng (ginseng). RNAcentral describes it as "long non-coding RNA (PGIN_LNC012009)". Lineage: Eukaryota; Viridiplantae; Streptophyta; Magnoliopsida; Apiales; Araliaceae. The record is from RNAcentral.
GACCGUAUGACCUGAUGAAGAUUCUAGGAAAACCCAGAUCUUCAAGAACCGUUUAAUGACCCCUUGUUUGACCGGCCAUAUCUUGUUCAUGCUGUGAUGUUUUUGUGUUAUUAUGCUUUAUAGUUAUAGUAAUACAUGUUGUCUACAAACUGUAAUUGAUAGAUCUCAUAAGCGUUGCUCGAUCAUCGAGUUAUAAGGAAUCAAAGUAGGUACCUAAGGCUGUUCUUCAAAUCUGGAAAACCCAGAAUUUGAAGAACAGGUCUGACAUCAUUUUUGGAAGCUUAGAUCUCGUUGUUAUGUUGUUGUUUGGUCAUGGAAUUGGUAUAUACUUGUAGUACUACAUUAGUACUAGAACAUCAAAGUUUUUACAAGUCUAGAAAAUAUUUAGAUCAUAGAUCAAAUUCGGGUCAAACCUACCCACUCGAACACUGACAUGAAUUUCUGGAAAUGCUGAAGAACACAUCAAGAACACAUUUAGCGACAGAUUUGUCACCUAAGCUACCUUUAGCGACA